GGUUAAGCGACUAAGCGUACACGGUGGAUGCCCUGGCAGUCAGAGGCGAUGAAGGGCGUGCUAAUCUGCGAUAAGCGCCGGUAAGGUGAUAUGAACCGUUAUAACCGGCGAUACCCGAAUGGGGAAACCCAGUGUGAUUCGUCACACUAUCAUUAACUGAAUCCAUAGGUUAAUGAGGCGAACCGGGGGAACUGAAACAUCUAAGUACCCCGAGGAAAAGAAAUCAACCGAGAUUCCCCCAGUAGCGGCGAGCGAACGGGGAGGAGCCCAGAGCCUGAAUCAGCAUGUGUGUUAGUGGAAGCGUCUGGAAAGGCGCGCGAUACAGGGUGACAGCCCCGUACACAAAAGCGCAUGUGUUGUGAGCUCGAUGAGUAGGGCGGGACACGUGGUAUCCUGUCUGAAUAUGGGGGGACCAUCCUCCAAGGCUAAAUACUCCUGACUGACCGAUAGUGAACCAGUACCGUGAGGGAAAGGCGAAAAGAACCCCGGCGAGGGGAGUGAAAAAGAACCUGAAACCGUGUACGUACAAGCAGUGGGAGCACCCUUUGGGGUGUGACUGCGUACCUUUUGUAUAAUGGGUCAGCGACUUAUAUUCUGUAGCAAGGUUAACCGAAUAGGGGAGCCGGAGGGAAACCGAGUCUUAAUUGGGCGUUAAGUUGCAGGGUAUAGACCCGAAACCCGGUGAUCUAGCCAUGGGCAGGUUGAAGGUUGGGUAACACUAACUGGAGGACCGAACCGACUAAUGUUGAAAAAUUAGCGGAUGACCUGUGGCUGGGGGUGAAAGGCCAAUCAAACCGGGAGAUAGCUGGUUCUCCCCGAAAGCUAUUUAGGUAGCGCCUCGUGAAUUCAUCUCCGGGGGUAGAGCACUGUUUCGGCUAGGGGGCCAUCCCGGCUUACCAACCCGAUGCAAACUGCGAAUACCGGAGAAUGUUAUCACGGGAGACACACGGCGGGUGCUAACGUCCGUCGUGAAGAGGGAAACAACCCAGACCGCCAGCUAAGGUCCCAAAGUCAUAGUUAAGUGGGAAACGAUGUGGGAAGGCCCAGACAGCCAGGAUGUUGGCUUAGAAGCAGCCAUCAUUUAAAGAAAGCGUAAUAGCUCACUGGUCGAGUCGGCCUGCGCGGAAGAUGUAACGGGGCUAAACUAUGCACCGAAGCUGCGGCAGCGACACUAUGUGUUGUUGGGUAGGGGAGCGUUCUGUAAGCCUGUGAAGGUGUGUCGUGAGGCAUGCUGGAGGUAUCAGAAGUGCGAAUGCUGACAUAAGUAACGAUAAAGCGGGUGAAAAGCCCGCUCGCCGGAAGACCAAGGGUUCCUGUCCAACGUUAAUCGGGGCAGGGUGAGUCGACCCCUAAGGCGAGGCCGAAAGGCGUAGUCGAUGGGAAACGGGUUAAUAUUCCCGUACUUGGUGUUACUGCGAAGGGGGGACGGAGAAGGCUAUGUUGGCCGGGCGACGGUUGUCCCGGUUUAAGCGUGUAGGUGUGUGUUCCAGGUAAAUCCGGUUCACUUUAACACUGAGGCGUGAUGACGAGGCACUACGGUGCUGAAGCAACAAAUGCCCUGCUUCCAGGAAAAGCCUCUAAGCAUCAGGUAACAUCAAAUCGUACCCCAAACCGACACAGGUGGUCAGGUAGAGAAUACCAAGGCGCUUGAGAGAACUCGGGUGAAGGAACUAGGCAAAAUGGUGCCGUAACUUCGGGAGAAGGCACGCUGACACGUAGGUGAAGUGAUUUACUCAUGGAGCUGAAGUCAGUCGAAGAUACCAGCUGGCUGCAACUGUUUAUUAAAAACACAGCACUGUGCAAACACGAAAGUGGACGUAUACGGUGUGACGCCUGCCCGGUGCCGGAAGGUUAAUUGAUGGGGUCAGCGCAAGCGAAGCUCCUGAUCGAAGCCCCGGUAAACGGCGGCCGUAACUAUAACGGUCCUAAGGUAGCGAAAUUCCUUGUCGGGUAAGUUCCGACCUGCACGAAUGGCGUAAUGAUGGCCAGGCUGUCUCCACCCGAGACUCAGUGAAAUUGAACUCGCUGUGAAGAUGCAGUGUACCCGCGGCAAGACGGAAAGACCCCGUGAACCUUUACUAUAGCUUGACACUGAACAUUGAGCCUUGAUGUGUAGGAUAGGUGGGAGGCUUUGAAGCGUGGACGCCAGUCUGCGUGGAGCCGACCUUGAAAUACCACCCUUUAAUGUUUGAUGUUCUAACGUGGACCCGUGAUCCGGGUUGCGGACAGUGUCUGGUGGGUAGUUUGACUGGGGCGGUCUCCUCCUAAAGAGUAACGGAGGAGCACGAAGGUUGGCUAAUCCUGGUCGGACAUCAGGAGGUUAGUGCAAUGGCAUAAGCCAGCUUGACUGCGAGCGUGACGGCGCGAGCAGGUGCGAAAGCAGGUCAUAGUGAUCCGGUGGUUCUGAAUGGAAGGGCCAUCGCUCAACGGAUAAAAGGUACUCCGGGGAUAACAGGCUGAUACCGCCCAAGAGUUCAUAUCGACGGCGGUGUUUGGCACCUCGAUGUCGGCUCAUCACAUCCUGGGGCUGAAGUAGGUCCCAAGGGUAUGGCUGUUCGCCAUUUAAAGUGGUACGCGAGCUGGGUUUAGAACGUCGUGAGACAGUUCGGUCCCUAUCUGCCGUGGGCGCUGGAGAACUGAGGGGGGCUGCUCCUAGUACGAGAGGACCGGAGUGGACGCAUCACUGGUGUUCGGGUUGUCAUGCCAAUGGCACUGCCCGGUAGCUAAAUGCGGAAGAGAUAAGUGCUGAAAGCAUCUAAGCACGAAACUUGCCCCGAGAUGAGUUCUCCCUGAGACUUAAAGUCUCCUGAAGGAACGUUGAAGACGACGACGUUGAUAGGCCGGGUGUGUAAGCGCAGCGAUGCGUUGAGCUAACCGGUACUAAUGAACCGUGAGGCUUAACCUU
This 2905-nucleotide ribosomal RNA is filed under the name Salmonella enterica. Its description in RNAcentral is "23S ribosomal RNA". It matches the Rfam family "Bacterial large subunit ribosomal RNA". Lineage: Bacteria; Pseudomonadati; Pseudomonadota; Gammaproteobacteria; Enterobacterales; Enterobacteriaceae. The record is from RNAcentral.